Molecule: small nucleolar RNA, 74 nt
Organism: Notamacropus eugenii (tammar wallaby)
Lineage: Eukaryota; Metazoa; Chordata; Mammalia; Diprotodontia; Macropodidae
Source: Ensembl
AAAAGCCAAUGAUGUUUUGUUAUCCCUGUCUGAAAAUUUAAGUGAGGGGAAAGCAAAUCACUUCUGAGGCUUCC